Molecule: ribosomal RNA, 896 nt
Filed under: uncultured bacterium
Lineage: Bacteria
Description: bacterial SSU rRNA
Rfam family: Bacterial small subunit ribosomal RNA
Source: RNAcentral
AGAGUUUGAUCAUGGCUCAGGACGUAUCGCUGGUGGCGUGCUUAAUAUCAUGCAAGUCGAGCGAGCUUGCCUAGAUGAUUUUUAGUGCUUGCAUCUAAAUGAAAUCUAGAUAUCAAGCGAGCGGCGGACGGGUGAGUAAUCAUCGUGGGUAACCUACCCAAGAGACUGGGAUAACACCUGGAAACAGAUGCUAAUACCGGAUAACAACAUCUAGAUCGCAUGUCUAGAGUUUGAAAGAUGGUUCUGCUAUCACUCUUGGAUGGACCUGCGGUGCAUUAGCUAGUUGGUAAGGUAACGGCUUACCAAGGCAAUGAUGCAUAGCCGAGUUGAGAGACUGAUCGGCCACAUUGGGACUGAGACACGGCCCAAACUCCUACGGGAGGCAGCAGUAGGGAAUCUUCCACAAUGGACGAAAGUCUGAUGGAGCAACGCCGCGUGAGUGAAGAAGGGUUUCGGCUCGUAAAGCUCUGUUGGUAGUGAAGAAAGAUAGAGGUAGUMACUGGCCUUUAUUUGACGGUAAUUACUUAGAAAGUCACGGCUAACUACGUGCCAGCAGCCGCGGUAAUACGUAGGUGGCAAGCGUUGUCCGGAUUUAUUGGGCGUAAAGCGAGUGCAGGCGGUUCAAUAAGUCUGAUGUGAAAGCCUUCGGCUCAACCGGAGAAUUGCAUCAGAAACUGUUGAACUUGAGUGCAGAAGAGGAGAGUGGAACUCCAUGUGUAGCGGUGGAAUGCGUAGAUAUAUGGAAGAACACCAGUGGCGAAGGCGGCUCUCUGGUCUGCAACUGACGCUGAGGCUCGAAAGCAUGGGUAGCGAACAGGAUUAGAUACCCUGGUAGUCCAUGCCGUAAACGAUGAGUGCUAAGUGUUGGGAGGUUUCCGCCUCUCAGUGCUGCAGCU